RNAcentral lists this ribosomal RNA (253 nucleotides) under uncultured bacterium. RNAcentral's name for it is "partial 16S ribosomal RNA". It matches the Rfam family "Bacterial small subunit ribosomal RNA", at positions 524 to 776 of the family's 1533-position model. The record is from RNAcentral.
UACGUAGGGGGCAAGCGUUGUCCGGAAUCAUUGGGCGUAAAGAGCGUGUAGGCGGCCCGAUAAGUCCGCCGUGAAAGUCCAGGGCUCAACCCUGGAAUGCCGGUGGAAACUGUCGGGCUGGAGUCCGGAAGAGGCGAGUGGAAUUCCUGGUGUAGCGGUGAAAUGCGCAGAUAUCAGGAAGAACACCUAUGGCGAAGGCAGCUCUCUGGGACGGUACUGACGCUGAGACGCGAAAGCGUGGGGAGCGAACAGG